Drosophila persimilis is the source of this 266-nucleotide long non-coding RNA. RefSeq lists it as uncharacterized. The transcript is spliced from 2 exons. Lineage: Eukaryota; Metazoa; Arthropoda; Insecta; Diptera; Drosophilidae. The record is from RefSeq and is a predicted model, not a curated record.
AAAACUUAACUAUUUCACGCCAUUCUUCGCCAUUGAGUCCGAGCGCCCGUCCGAGGACGAUGAUCUGGUUACGUUACCGGAGCACGACUUUCAUCUGAGCUCCAGCCGACAUGCCAUCUCCAGGGGAACUCUGGAUGACAUCAUGACUGCAUUAGACUCUUAAGCAGCUCUGAGCAAAACUCACACAACUCAUCACACUAUAAAAAUAGAAUUUCACAUAAAAACAUUUACACACACACGCCCACAAAUACACACACACACACAUA